CCUUUUGUAUAAUGGGUCAGCGACUUAUAUUCUGUAGCAAGGUUAACCGAAUAGGGGAGCCGAAGGGAAACCGAGUCUUAACUGGGCGUUAAGUUGCAGGGUAUAGACCCGAAACCCGGUGAUCUAGCCAUGGGCAGGUUGAAGGUUGGGUAACACUAACUGGAGGACCGAACCGACUAAUGUUGAAAAAUUAGCGGAUGACUUGUGGCUGGGGGUGAAAGGCCAAUCAAACCGGGAGAUAGCUGGUUCUCCCCGAAAGCUAUUUAGGUAGCGCCUCGUGAAUUCAUCUCCGGGGGUAGAGCACUGUUUCGGCAAGGGGGUCAUCCCGACUUACCAACCCGAUGCAAACUGCGAAUACCGGAGAAUGUUAUCACGGGAGACACACGGCGGGUGCUAACGUCCGUCGUGAAGAGGGAAACAACCCAGACCGCCAGCUAAGGUCCCAAAGUCAUGGUUAAGUGGGAAACGAUGUGGGAAGGCCCAGACAGCCAGGAUGUUGGCUUAGAAGCAGCCAUCAUUUAAAGAAAGCGUAAUAGCUCACUGGUCGAGUCGGCCUGCGCGGAAGAUGUAACGGGGCUAAACCAUGCACCGAAGCUGCGGCAGCGACGCUUAUGCGUUGUUGGGUAGGGGAGCGUUCUGUAAGCCUGUGAAGGUGUGCUGUGAGGCAUGCUGGAGGUAUCAGAAGUGCGAAUGCUGACAUAAGUAACGAUAAAGCGGGUGAAAAGCCCGCUCGCCGGAAGACCAAGGGUUCCUGUCCAACGUUAAUCGGGGCAGGGUGAGUCGACCCCUAAGGCGAGGCCGAAAGGCGUAGUCGAUGGGAAACAGGUUAAUAUUCCUGUACUUGGUGUUACUGCGAAGGGGGGACGGAGAAGGCUAUGUUGGCCGGGCGACGGUUGUCCCGGUUUAAGCGUGUAGGCUGGUUUUCCAGGCAAAUCCGGAAAAUCAAGGCUGAGGCGUGAUGACGAGGCACUACGGUGCUGAAGCAACAAAUGCCCUGCUUCCAGGAAAAGCCUCUAAGCAUCAGGUAACAUCAAAUCGUACCCCAAACCGACACAGGUGGUCAGGUAGAGAAUACCAAGGCGCUUGAGAGAACUCGGGUGAAGGAACUAGGCAAAAUGGUGCCGUAACUUCGGGAGAAGGCACGCUGAUAUGUAGGUGAAGUCCCUCGCGGAUGGAGCUGAAAUCAGUCGAAGAUACCAGCUGGCUGCAACUGUUUAUUAAAAACACAGCACUGUGCAAACACGAAAGUGGACGUAUACGGUGUGACGCCUGCCCGGUGCCGGAAGGUUAAUUGAUGGGGUCAGCGCAAGCGAAGCUCUUGAUCGAAGCCCCGGUAAACGGCGGCCGUAACUAUAACGGUCCUAAGGUAGCGAAAUUCCUUGUCGGGUAAGUUCCGACCUGCACGAAUGGCGUAAUGAUGGCCAGGCUGUCUCCACCCGAGACUCAGUGAAAUUGAACUCGCUGUGAAGAUGCAGUGUACCCGCGGCAAGACGGAAAGACCCCGUGAACCUUUACUAUAGCUUGACACUGAACAUUGAGCCUUGAUGUGUAGGAUAGGUGGGAGGCUUAGAAGUGUGGACGCCAGUCUGCAUGGAGCCGACCUUGAAAUACCACCCUUUAAUGUUUGAUGUUCUAACGUUGACCCGUAAUCCGGGUUGCGGACAGUGUCUGGUGGGUAGUUUGACUGGGGCGGUCUCCUCCUAAAGAGUAACGGAGGAGCACGAAGGUUGGCUAAUCCUGGUCGGACAUCAGGAGGUUAGUGCAAUGGCAUAAGCCAGCUUGACUGCGAGCGUGACGGCGCGAGCAGGUGCGAAAGCAGGUCAUAGUGAUCCGGUGGUUCUGAAUGGAAGGGCCAUCGCUCAACGGAUAAAAGGUACUCCGGGGAUAACAGGCUGAUACCGCCCAAGAGUUCAUAUCGACGGCGGUGUUUGGCACCUCGAUGUCGGCUCAUCACAUCCUGGGGCUGAAGUAGGUCCCAAGGGUAUGGCUGUUCGCCAUUUAAAGUGGUACGCGAGCUGGGUUUAGAACGUCGUGAGACAGUUCGGUCCCUAUCUGCCGUGGGCGCUGGAGAACUGAGGGGGGCUGCUCCUAGUACGAGAGGACCGGAGUGGACGCAUCACUGGUGUUCGGGUUGUCAUGCCAAUGGCACUGCCCGGUAGCUAAAUGCGGAAGAGAUAAGUGCUGAAAGCAUCUAAGCACGAAACUUGCCCCGAGAUGAGUUCUCCCUGACCCUUUAAGGGUCCUGAAGGAACGUUGAAGACGACGACGUUGAUAGGCCGGGUGUGUAAGCGCAGCGAUGCGUUGAGCUAACCGGUACUAAUGAACCGUGAGGCUUAACCUU
Molecule: ribosomal RNA, 2341 nt
Filed under: Escherichia coli
Lineage: Bacteria; Pseudomonadati; Pseudomonadota; Gammaproteobacteria; Enterobacterales; Enterobacteriaceae
Description: partial 23S ribosomal RNA
Rfam family: Bacterial large subunit ribosomal RNA
Source: RNAcentral